Molecule: non-coding RNA, 30 nt
Filed under: Mus musculus (house mouse)
Lineage: Eukaryota; Metazoa; Chordata; Mammalia; Rodentia; Muridae
Source: RNAcentral
UGCCACUGUUACAUCUUUAAGGUUACGACA